GGAGAGAUGGCAGAGUGGUAAUGCAGCAGAUUGCUAAUCUGUAACCGGGUAACUGGUUCCAGGGUUCGAGUCCCUGUCUCUCCG
This 84-nucleotide transfer RNA is filed under the name Tenacibaculum ovolyticum. RNAcentral's name for it is "tRNA-Ser". It matches the Rfam family "tRNA". From Rfam's summary of the family: Transfer RNA (tRNA) molecules are approximately 80 nucleotides in length. Their secondary structure includes four short double-helical elements and three loops (D, anti-codon, and T loops). The record is from RNAcentral. Lineage: Bacteria; Pseudomonadati; Bacteroidota; Flavobacteriia; Flavobacteriales; Flavobacteriaceae. RNAcentral also lists the same sequence under 7 other names.